UUUUGGACAAUGGGGGCAAGCCUGAUCCAGCAAUGCCGCGUGAGUGAAGAAGGCCUUAGGGUUGUAAAGCUCUUUUGUCAGGGAAGAAACGCAUUAGUUUAAUACAUAUUUGUAAUGACGUUACCCGCAAAAUAAGCACCGGCUAACUCCGUGCCAGCAGCCGCGGUAAUACGUAGGGUGCAAGCGUUAAUCGGAAUUAUUGGGCGUAAAGGUGCGCAGGCGGUUAGAUAAGUCAUAUGUGAAAACCCCGGGCUCAACCUGGGAAAGGCAUUUAAGACUGCAGGGCUAGAGUAUGUCAGAGGGCAGUGGAAUUUCCCGUGUAGCAGUGAAAUGCGUAGAGAUCGGGAGGAACACCGAUGGCGAAGGCAGCCCCCUGGGAUAACACUGACACUCAGCACGAAA
Molecule: ribosomal RNA, 402 nt
Filed under: uncultured bacterium
Lineage: Bacteria
Description: bacterial SSU rRNA
Rfam family: Bacterial small subunit ribosomal RNA
Source: RNAcentral